Molecule: ribosomal RNA, 482 nt
Filed under: uncultured bacterium
Lineage: Bacteria
Description: partial 16S ribosomal RNA
Rfam family: Bacterial small subunit ribosomal RNA
Source: RNAcentral
AUUGAACGCUGGCGGCAUGCCUUACACAUGCAAGUCGAACGGUAACAGGUCUUCGGAUGCUGACGAGUGGCGAACGGGUGAGUAAUACAUCGGAACGUGCCUAGUAGUGGGGGAUAACUACUCGAAAGAGUGGCUAAUACCGCAUGAGAUCUACGGAUGAAAGCAGGGGAUCGCAAGACCUUGUGCUACUAGAGCGGCCGAUGGCGGAUUAGGUAGUUGGUGGGAUAAAAGCUUACCAAGCCGACGAUCUGUAGCUGGUCUGAGAGGACGAUCAGCCACACUGGGACUGAGACACGGCCCAGACUCCUACGGGAGGCAGCAGUGGGGAAUUUUGGACAAUGGGCGCAAGACUGAUCCAGCAAUGCCGCGUGCAGGAUGAAGGCCUUCGGGUUGUAAACUGCUUUUGUACGGAACGAAAAGCCCUGGGUUAAUACCCUGGGGUCAUGACGGUACCGUAAGAAUAAGCACCGGCUAACUACGUG